Molecule: transfer RNA, 74 nt
Filed under: Bacteroidales bacterium 36-12
Lineage: Bacteria; Pseudomonadati; Bacteroidota; Bacteroidia; Bacteroidales
Description: tRNA-Gln
Rfam family: tRNA
About the family: Transfer RNA (tRNA) molecules are approximately 80 nucleotides in length. Their secondary structure includes four short double-helical elements and three loops (D, anti-codon, and T loops).
Source: RNAcentral
UGACUUAUGGUGUAAUGGUAGCACUACAGAUUCUGGAUCUGUCUGUCUAGGUUCGAAUCCUAGUAAGUCAACAA